Molecule: ribosomal RNA, 444 nt
Filed under: uncultured bacterium
Lineage: Bacteria
Description: SSU rRNA
Rfam family: Bacterial small subunit ribosomal RNA
Source: RNAcentral
AGAGCGAACGCUGGCGGCAGGCCUAAAACAUGCAAGUCGAACGAGCCCUUCGGGGUUAGUGGCGGACGGGUGAGUAACACGUGGGAACGUGCCUUUUGGUUCGGAACAACUCAGGGAAACUUGAGCUAAUACCGAAUGUGCCCUUCGGGGGAAAGAUUUAUCGCCAUUAGAGCGGCCCGCGUCUGAUUAGCUAGUUGGUGAGGUAAAGGCUCACCAAGGCUUCGAUCAGUAGCUGGUCUGAGAGGAUGAUCAGCCACACUGGGACUGAGACACGGCCCAGACUCCUACGGGAGGCAGCAGUUAGGAAUCUGCGCAAUGGGCGAAAGCCUGACGCAGCCAUGCCGCGUGAAUGAUGAAGGUCUUAGGAUUGUAAAUUCUUUCAGCGGGGACGAUAAUGACGGUACCCGCAGAAGAAGCUCCGGCUAACUUCGUGCCAGCAGCCGC